RNAcentral lists this ribosomal RNA (327 nucleotides) under Triticum aestivum (bread wheat). RNAcentral describes it as "partial small subunit ribosomal RNA". Lineage: Eukaryota; Viridiplantae; Streptophyta; Magnoliopsida; Poales; Poaceae. The record is from RNAcentral.
AUGCGCAGCCACCCCAUGCCGCCAUUGCCCUUCACCCACAUCUCCCCGACGUCGCCGGCGCCGCCGACGUUGGUGACGUACACCAACAGCCAGUGCGGGUUGCCCUGGAACGCGAACCGGAUCCCGCCCUUGCGCAUGCACGGCACCCUGCGGUACAUGACGGGGACGAUGCCCGCAUGCCAGUCGGCCAUCUUCUUGAAGGCCGGGAUGGCGAGGUCGAAGUGGGUGCGCGGUGGGUUGCACCAGCCGCCGUUGUUGGUGUCCUGCGCCCAGUUGGGCGGGCACAGGUUGGUCGCGGUCACCGUGAUCACCGGCGAGCCCCUGUAA